UUACAGAAAAAUUAUUGUCUGUAGAUCCACAAACUUUGUAGAUUUAUUAAGUAGGUGUAAAUUGCUAUUUAAACCUUUUCUACUUUAGACAUAAAACAUCCAAGUGUAUCUUCAUUCAUCUUGUCCUACAAAAAUCAACUAAUCUCACGAAUACAAAACGCUUAAAUCUAAAUAAAGGAUAAUUAAUAAAGUUAAUGAAAAAUAUGAAAUCGAAAACUGAAUCUUUUAAAUUUUGAAACUCCGAAUUCUUUAUCACUUGCACCUUAAAUUGUUUCCAUAAGAGAGCAUUUAACAUAAAGGUAGUCGGAAAAGCCGAAACUUCGAACACUUUAACUACUUCCAUCACUCCAAUCAGAUUUCUUCCGUUUCCUUUUCAAUAAUACCCUUCCCGUAGCUACUUUGUACUAUGCUUCAGUUUUCAUUGACACUCGAGGAACGCGCUACACAUUCUCAACGUUCAUCCUAUCAAUCAGCUUCGAUUUUCCUCUUUAAUAUUUCCGCCAGCGACUACGCACAGAUGGUGAGACAGAUAGCUUACGAGCAACAGGUUGUUGAACGUGAACAGUCCCGUUUCGAUUCGACUAGCAGUAGUCAUAGCAAGGCCGACCAGCGCAGCACGACGCGGCGCAGCGCGGCGCCGAGAAGCGCUUAUUAGAAAGUCCCAAUGCGCCACCGGUAUGCGAUUGUUCGCCACGAUUGUGUCUUAUUUAGAUUCCUGCCGCAUUCUCGUGUUCCCCGUGGUCGUCUCUGUCGUUGUUGGACCGCGCCCGCGCUACUCUUUUCGUUGUGGCGACAGCGAGCUUUUUUCGUGACGCAGCUCGAUCGUAACCGAGAUCGGUUGCUACUGUUCGAUCUCAAAGUCCAGUGGCGGACUCCUCAGUAAGGCUCUCACCUAGCAGACCUAUACCUUAGACACAACGAGAGAAGACAGAAAGAGAAACUCCAACACGCGGAGAUUCCGAUCGACACGCCUGGUAUUUCCGGUUGAGGUGUAUCUCAAGAUCGGUGCGACAAACCGAUUCUUCGUUGAACACGGUAGCAAAAAUCAGGAUGACUUCAAAUACAGCGUAUAGAAAAAGGUAAACGGUGGAACGAAUUUCUGAAUGCAAUCUGGUUAGUAUUGUGAAAGGUAUUGAUUGUGUAUUGAAACGUUCGCUGUUAUUUAUUUGUUAGCCAGCUAUUUACGAGUAUUGACGCGGCAUUGUCAGCGAUCUGGGUCGAUUAAAUCUAUCGGGUUUCUGUGGGCUUUCAGGUUAUUCAAAACGGUAGGCGAUGCGAGAUAAAUAAUGUAGUCACCUACCCGUAAAGUAGUCACUGGGGAAAUGUUCUUUCUCGUUUUUAGAAUAGAAACUUUCUACGUUUCAUGCGAUAUUUUAAUGUUUCGAUCUAAAUUAAUUUGAGAAGUUAAUACGAAGAUUACCCAUGGUUAAAAUACUCAAAAAAAUCAAAAUCUACAUGAAAAUAUGUAAUACAUAAUGGAGAGAAAAAAUAAAUCCUCGCUUCAUAUACUGCAUUAAAUUUCCAAAAACUUUAUUUAAUUUCUAUUCGUAUCUCUAAAAAUGCACCGUUAUUUACCUGCAAAAUUUCUGCAAAGAAUUUUUAAUUGCUUAUUUUAACUCUGGUAGUAACGUUGGUCCUAGCGUCAAGGAUCCUCCCCUAAAAAUUGUCGAAUGAACACGCGCCACCAUAAGCUGUUUCGUGAAUAUAAUGGGUAGUAAAUUACCGUUUUCUUAGGUUCGCUGCGUACGACGGAAUAUUGUUUGCGAUGGUAAUUGUAAUGUUUCCCGGAUCUCAUUUGCUGGCUUUCAGCCGCUAAUAUACGGCGGUUUCGUAGCACGGGGCAGCGGUCCGGUCAUAACUCACUGAAACGCAACAACAAACAGUUCAUCUAGACUGGUGGUCGCGUGGG
Long non-coding RNA from Bombus huntii, 1909 nucleotides. RefSeq lists it as uncharacterized. The record is from RefSeq and is a predicted model, not a curated record. The transcript is spliced from 3 exons. NCBI's taxonomy places the organism in Eukaryota, Metazoa, Arthropoda, Insecta, Hymenoptera, Apidae.